UUUCAGGAGAGACACUGCUGCCACUACUGCUGCUGCUGCUGAGUCCCACCGAUCCUCUUCGUUCCCUUGAUUAAGCACAUCUGGGUGGUUUACCCGCGUCGUGAUGCUGCGUACCAGGGAGCAGGAACAAAAGCAGAUCUGGACAACCGUGCCAACCAGUUGAAUCCGAACAAUCCUCAUUACAAAGGAGGGAAGAAGUGAGGAAGAAUGGAUAGUUUCUUCUAUAUGACAUAAUGUGAUUAAUCAUAAAAAAAUUGAUAAUUUGUAGCAAAGCUGGUUAAUAAUUCUUGUCUCUGAAAAUUAUGUAGUU
This is a long non-coding RNA of Schistocerca cancellata (South American locust), 310 nucleotides long. RefSeq lists it as uncharacterized. Lineage: Eukaryota; Metazoa; Arthropoda; Insecta; Orthoptera; Acrididae. The transcript has 2 exons. The record is from RefSeq and is a predicted model, not a curated record.